This 468-nucleotide ribosomal RNA is filed under the name uncultured bacterium. Its description in RNAcentral is "partial 16S ribosomal RNA". It matches the Rfam family "Bacterial small subunit ribosomal RNA", at positions 28 to 507 of the family's 1533-position model. The record is from RNAcentral.
GACGAACGCUGGCGGCGUGCUUAACACAUGCAAGUCGAACGGAAAGGCCCUGCUUUUGUGGGGUGCUCGAGUGGCGAACGGGUGAGUAACACGUGAGUAACCUGCCCUUGACUUUGGGAUAACUUCAGGAAACUGGGGCUAAUACCGGAUAGGAGCUCCUGCUGCAUGGUGGGGGUUGGAAAGUUUCGGCGGUUGGGGAUGGACUCGCGGCUUAUCAGCUUGUUGGUGGGGUAGUGGCUUACCAAGGCUUUGACGGGUAGCCGGCCUGAGAGGGUGACCGGCGACAUUGGGACUGAGAUACGGCCCAGACUCCUACGGGAGGCAGCAGUGGGGAAUAUUGCACAGUGGGCGGAAGCCUGAUGCGGCGACGCCGCGUGCGGGAUGACGGCCUUCGGGUUGUAAACCGCUUUCGCCUGUGACGAAGCGUGAGUGACGGUAAUGGGUAAAGAAGCACCGGCUAACUACGUG